CAGGGAUUGCAGCGGCAUCUUUUUUUGCUUUUUGGCAAAAAAAAUAUAGCGGAAAGCCCGCCCGGAC
RNAcentral lists this small RNA (67 nucleotides) under Pricia antarctica. Its description in RNAcentral is "Flavo-1 RNA". It matches the Rfam family "Flavo-1 RNA". The record is from RNAcentral. Lineage: Bacteria; Pseudomonadati; Bacteroidota; Flavobacteriia; Flavobacteriales; Flavobacteriaceae.